GAUCGCUAUGAUGACUCCAUAAAAUUCAAGCUCAACAGACCGGAAUGCACGGUUUCUCUUCUCUGAGAACUUUGCGUGUCGACCACCCCGCUGAACUGAGCGAUC
Molecule: small nucleolar RNA, 105 nt
Filed under: Vitis vinifera (wine grape)
Lineage: Eukaryota; Viridiplantae; Streptophyta; Magnoliopsida; Vitales; Vitaceae
Description: Small nucleolar RNA Z107/R87
Rfam family: Small nucleolar RNA Z107/R87
About the family: Z107 and R87 are members of the C/D class of snoRNA which contain the C (UGAUGA) and D (CUGA) box motifs.
Source: Rfam by way of RNAcentral